Oryctolagus cuniculus (rabbit) is the source of this 106-nucleotide small nuclear RNA. NCBI's taxonomy places the organism in Eukaryota, Metazoa, Chordata, Mammalia, Lagomorpha, Leporidae. The record is from Ensembl.
GUUUGCUUCGGCAGCACAUAUUCUAAAAUUGGAACGAUGCAGAAAAGGUUAGCAUGGUCCCAUGUGCAAGAAUGACACACAAAUUCAUGAAGUGUUCCAUAUUUUU